CUAGUUGUCAGUUAAUUUGUUUGGUAAUAAGCUGUGCAGAACAGUAAACAUCCUUCAAAGAAUUGUAAUUUGUAUUUGCCUGCAGAGCAUGCAUUGUUAAACAGAACCAUGCUGAAAAUAUGUUUAACUCACUUAAAGUGAGACACACGCAGCAAUAUCAGACUAACACUGAUGUUGCUAUCUCAUGGAAGCACCUCUAGUGGCUGUAGUCAUA
Pelobates cultripes (western spadefoot toad) is the source of this 214-nucleotide non-coding RNA. The record is from the annotation of a GenBank genome assembly. Lineage: Eukaryota; Metazoa; Chordata; Amphibia; Anura; Pelobatidae.